RNAcentral lists this long non-coding RNA (2870 nucleotides) under Zea mays. Its description in RNAcentral is "long non-coding RNA (ZMAY_LNC001332)". The record is from RNAcentral. Lineage: Eukaryota; Viridiplantae; Streptophyta; Magnoliopsida; Poales; Poaceae.
UGUGCUCAAUCAGGUUUUAUUCAGGUUUUAUUCAGAAUUUUGCACCACACAGGUAGAUGGAUGAUGCAUAUAUAUAUGCAUCAACAUAACAUACGCUAUUAUAUUUCUAAUGGGAGCAGCAGCACACUUUGUGCUCCACGCUUUCGUCACACCAGCCACCGUCCUUGAAACCCUUCGAGCUACAGAUCAAGCGGCAGUUCUGGUGGUCCUCGGAAUAGGACGAGAAGUAUGGCCUUCUCGGUGGCGGCGGUGACUUCUUGGGUUUCCCGAUGCCUGCACACACAUCGCAGUCCAAACGAGAUCGGCCGGUUAAUUAAUAGAUAAUUAUCGCCGGCUCUUAGAACGAAAUAGUAACUAUUGCGUAAGUAUUUAGAAGUAGAGAUCGAAGGUGCCUACAGCCGCCGGCUUCGUAGCAUGGAGACAGUGAGGACAGAAUGGCAACAGCCAACAGAAGCGCGACGAUUGUGCUGCUCUUCAUCACCGCCAUAAGGAAAGAUGAUCAAGCUUCCCUUAUUACCACGAGCUAGUGACGAAGAGAGAUUAUAUGAUUUGUUUGUUCUAAUCUCCGUCUUCGAUCUCACUUGUACUUAUAUAGAAGACGAAUCCAUCUCUAGCACAUCUCAUUUGUGCCAGAAGAUCUAGUUAUAGAUAUAGAUAGAGAUAGAGAUAUAGAAAUUUUACAUAUAGAUAUAGUUAUGGAUAUAGAUAUUGGGAUAUGUUGUUGUUGAUAUAAUAUGAUGAUAUUGGUUUAGUCAUACAAAGACAACCAACAUAUUUGCAAUGGUUGUUCUUCCACUACUAAUUAUUUUGCAAUCUAAUAAGAAGAUAUUAGACAUUAAUCCAUAAAUGCUUAGACGAAACAUACCUAAGCUUGGAGGUGCGUCUACAUAGCAUAGACACUACCAGAGUCACAUGCUUUGCCGAGUGCCCCAUGCACUCGGCAAAGCCAGAAAUACACACAGUAAACCUUUUGCAGAGUGUCACACCCGGCAAAGGGUAAACGGCAAAAAAAUCAUUGGCAAAGGCGGUUCAACCCUAUUUAGUCGUUGUCACAAUCGCUGCUGUUGUUUCCAGCCGCCACCAUUGUUUCCAGGCCGUGUCCAACGGUUCACCCCGUUGUCUCUCUUUCCUGUAUACUCGGUGUAUGGACGUCUGGAAUGUGGUCCAACGAUGUGUGAUGACACCGAAGGAAAUCAACAGAAGGCGGGAAGGAACCAUGGCUACUAGGAGGGUUCGAUGUCAAGUGAAGCCCAACUCUCGCGUCCAUGGGCCAGAUUGGACCCAAUGAGUGUUUUAGUGUUUUCUUUUUGUUUUGGCAUGUGGUAUAAAGAAAAGGACUUUAUGAAUCGCCAAGGGCGGCUUGGGGCAUAAGUUGAGGCCGACUGCGUUCGGAAAGGGAGGGCUCUUCCUCUGUAACCUGAAUCAUGAAUUCCAGUGAUAAUUUGAUACUUCGUGAGAGGUGGAGGGUACCAGGAGCCGUGCUCGUGAUCCAAAUCAUGUCUUUGUGUUCAUCGGCUCUGUUACCUGUUCCAUGGUUCUAUUACAAUUGGUAUCAGAUUCCUGGUUCCUGAUCCUGGUGAAACCUCUAGAAUAUAUUCUUCGCCCUUAUUACAAUACAAGAAACCAGAAGUAGUUAGAAGCGAUGGAGAAAAUAUCAUUGAUCUAUCGGUGCUCUUGCUGAACAUGCAACUCUAGAGUGAAUCAAGCAAGCAAAAUAAUAUGUCAAAAGAAACAUGAUUACAUGACUGCCUAUCUGUCCAAGAAAAAUAAUUGAGAUUGUUUAAGAAAAAUAAAAUGCAUAACUGUCUAACUGUCCAAAAUGCACAACUUGUAAACUCUUAAGAUAAAAUAUUUUUGUCAUUGUAUUGGCAUUAGUAAUGUCUAAGAAAUGUGAGUGAGUUAGUAAGUUAUAAAAAUGCCACCAAUAAUAUUAUCUAAGUAAUGUGAGGCUGCCGGUAAGACCUACUCUUACUAAAGUCGCCAGAACACACAUGUACCUAACACUACCGUAAAGGAUGCAUCUCAUAUUCUAGUAGGUGCAGAACAUACACUAUCAGCACCAAGUCAAUGAUUUUGACACAUCAAAGUGUUACCGACCAAAACACACCUAAAUAAAAUUCAUCAUGCUUGCACAGACACUUCAGUUACGACUACACCAUAGAAAAUUCAAUUUUCAAGAUUGGAUAGAACCUAUCAGGCAAGAAGGGAUACACUACUGCAAAUUCAGAGAUGCAUAUUGCUCUAUUCAGGGAAUAAGAAAUACACUAAUUGGAUCUCAGAGAAGCAUUUGACAGCUCCAUUUUGAGAAGUGCAAGAUCUGUACCAUUUUUUUCAACCUUUUUUUACGCUGUUUUAGUUCCAUAAUAAUAAUAAUAAUAAUAAUAAUAAUAAUAAUAAUAAUAAUAAUAAUAAUAAUAAUAAUAAUAAUAAUAAUAAUAAUAAUAAUGGCAAUGUACGUAGGUGCAGUGUGUUCCUUUGACAUCUUACGUUUCUUUUUUCCUAAACCUUUUGCUCCAUAUAAUUUGCCACGUUUCGUUUCAGGACAUCCGGAAAAAAGCCAGAUUUUAUUCAGAAUUUUGCACCACACAGGUAGAUGGACGAUGCAUAUAUAUAUGCAUCAACAUAACAUACGCUAUUAUAUUUCUAAUGGGAGCAGCAGCACACUUUGUGCUCCACGCUUUCGUCACACCAGCCACCGUCCUUGAAACCCUUGGAGCUACAGAUCAAGCGGCAGUUCUGGUGGUCCUCGGAAUAGGACGAGAAGUAUGGCCUUCUCGGCGGCGGCGGUGACUUCUUGGGUUUCCCGAUGCCUGCACACACAUCGCAGUCCAAACGAGAUCGGCCGGUUAAUUAAUAGAUAAUUAUCGCCG